UUAAAGUUGUUGCAGUUAAAAAGCUCGUAGUUGAAACUUGGGCCUGGCUGGCGGGUCCGCCUCACCGCGUGCACUCGUCCGGCCGGGCCUUCCUUCUGAAGAACCUCAUGCCCUUCACUGGGCGUGCUGGGGAAUCAGGACUUUUACUUUGAAAAAAUUAGAGUGUUCAAAGCAGGCCUUUGCUCGAAUACGUUAGCAUGGAAUAAUAAAAUAGGGCGUGCGUUUCUAUUUUGUUGGUUUCUAGAGACGCCGCAAUGAUUAACAGGAACAGUCGGGGGCAUCAGUAUUCAGUUGUCAGAGGUGAAAUUCUUGGAUUUACUGAAGACUAACUACUGCGAAAGCAUUUGCCAAGGAUGUUUUCAUUAAUCAGGAACGAAAGUUAGGGGAUCGAAGACGAUCAGAUACCGUCGUAGUCUUAACCAUAAACUAUGCCGACUAGGGAUCGGGCGAUGUUCUUCUUUUGACUCGCUCGGCACCUUACGAGAAAUCA
Molecule: ribosomal RNA, 490 nt
Filed under: Thalassiosira rotula
Lineage: Eukaryota; Bacillariophyta; Thalassiosirophyceae; Thalassiosirales; Thalassiosiraceae
Description: partial Eukaryotic small subunit ribosomal RNA
Rfam family: Eukaryotic small subunit ribosomal RNA
Source: RNAcentral